AUUGAACGCUGGCGGCAUGCCUUACACAUGCAAGUCGAACGGCAGCACGGGAGCAAUCCUGGUGGCGAGUGGCGAACGGGUGAGUAAUAUAUCGGAACGUGCCCAGUCGUGGGGGAUAACGUAGCGAAAGCUACGCUAAUACCGCAUACGAUCUAUGGAUGAAAGCGGGGGAUCGCAAGACCUCGCGCGAUUGGAGCGGCCGAUAUCAGAUUAGGUAGUUGGUGGGGUAAAAGCCUACCAAGCCUUCGAUCUGUAGCUGGUCUAAGAGGACGACCAGCCACACUGGAACUGAGACACGGUCCAGACUCCUACGGGAGGCAGCAGUGGGGAAUUUUGGACAAUGGGCGCAAGCCUGAUCCAGCAAUGCCGCGUGCAGGAUGAAGGCCUCGGUUGUAAACUGCUUUGUACGGACGAAACGGCUCUUUCUAAUAAAGGGAGCUAAUGACGGUACCGUAAGAAUAAGCACCGGCUAACUACGUGCCAG
This 484-nucleotide ribosomal RNA is filed under the name uncultured bacterium. RNAcentral describes it as "bacterial SSU rRNA". It matches the Rfam family "Bacterial small subunit ribosomal RNA", at positions 30 to 511 of the family's 1533-position model. The record is from RNAcentral.